Molecule: ribosomal RNA, 465 nt
Filed under: uncultured bacterium
Lineage: Bacteria
Description: partial 16S ribosomal RNA
Rfam family: Bacterial small subunit ribosomal RNA
Source: RNAcentral
GACGAACGCUGGCGGCGUGCUUAACACAUGCAAGUCGAACGGAAAGGCCCCUUUGGGGGUACUCGAGUGGCGAACGGGUGAGUAACACGUGAGUAACCUGCCCUUGACUUCGGGAUAACUUCAGGAAACUGGGGCUAAUACCGGAUAGGAAUCCUUGCUGCAUGGUGGGGGUUGGAAAGCUUCGGCGGUUUUGGAUGGACUCGCGGCUUAUCAGCUUGUUGGUGGGGUAGUGGCUUGCCAAGGCUUUGACGGGUAGCCGGCCUGAGAGGGCGACCGGCCACAUUGGGACUGAGAUACGGCCCAGACUCCUACGGGAGGCAGCAGUGGGGAAUAUUGCACAAUGGGCGGAAGCCUGAUGCAGCAACGCCGCGUGCGGGAUGACGGCCUUCGGGUUGUAAACCGCUUUCAGCAGGGGAGAAGCUUGUGGUGACGGUACCUGCAGAAGAAGCACCGGCUAACUACGUG